CAGCGGCCACGGUAAUACGGGGGGGGCAAGUGUUAUUCGGAAUGACUGGGCGUAAAGGGCACGUAGGCGGUGAAAAGGGUGGAAAGUGAAAGUCGCCAAAACACUGGCGGGGUGCUUUCUUGACCAUUUCACUUGAGUGAGAUAGGGGAGAGUGGAAUUUCGUGUGGAGGGAUCAAAUCCUAAGAUAUACGAAGGAACGCCAACCGCGAAGGCAGCUCUCUGGGUCCCCACUGACGCUGGGGUGCGAAAGCAUGGGGAGCAAACAGGAUCAGAUACCCCCGUAGUCCCUGUCUCUUAUACC
RNAcentral lists this ribosomal RNA (301 nucleotides) under uncultured bacterium. Its description in RNAcentral is "partial 16S ribosomal RNA". It matches the Rfam family "Bacterial small subunit ribosomal RNA", at positions 509 to 808 of the family's 1533-position model. The record is from RNAcentral.